AGAGGGUUAGUUUAGUGGCAAAACUAAGGACUCCAAACCCUUCGUCACAGGUUCGAAUCCUGUACCCUCUGCCA
RNAcentral lists this transfer RNA (74 nucleotides) under [Mycoplasma] gypis. RNAcentral's name for it is "tRNA-Trp". It matches the Rfam family "tRNA". Rfam says of the family: Transfer RNA (tRNA) molecules are approximately 80 nucleotides in length. Their secondary structure includes four short double-helical elements and three loops (D, anti-codon, and T loops). The record is from RNAcentral. Lineage: Bacteria; Bacillati; Mycoplasmatota; Mycoplasmoidales; Metamycoplasmataceae.